RNAcentral lists this transfer RNA (66 nucleotides) under Acanthaphritis unoorum. RNAcentral's name for it is "tRNA-Cys". It matches the Rfam family "tRNA". Rfam says of the family: Transfer RNA (tRNA) molecules are approximately 80 nucleotides in length. Their secondary structure includes four short double-helical elements and three loops (D, anti-codon, and T loops). Further hydrogen bonds mediate the characteristic L-shaped molecular structure. tRNAs have two regions of fundamental functional importance: the anti-codon, which is responsible for specific mRNA codon recognition, and the 3' end, to which the tRNAs corresponding amino acid is attached (by aminoacyl-tRNA synthetases). tRNAs cope with the degeneracy of the genetic code in two manners: having more than one tRNA (with a specific anti-codon) for a particular amino acid; and 'wobble' base-pairing, i.e. permitting non-standard base-pairing at the 3rd anti-codon position. Lineage: Eukaryota; Metazoa; Chordata; Actinopteri; Pempheriformes; Percophidae. The record is from RNAcentral.
AGCCUUGAGGUGUACAGCACGUCAGAUUGCAAAUCUGAAGGGGGAGAGUAAUAUCUUCCGAGGCUU